UACGGGGGGUGCUAGCGUUAUUCGGAAUCAUUGGGCGUAAAGGGCGCGUAGGCGGUCUUUAAAGUCAGAUGUGAAAGCCCUCGGCUUAACCGAGGAAGUGCAUUUGAUACUAAAAGACUUGAGUAUGGGAGAGGGAAGCGGAAUUCCUGGUGUAGCGGUGAAAUGCGUAGAUAUCAGGAGGAACACCAGUGGCGAAGGCGGCUUCCUGGACCAAUACUGACGCUGAGGCGCGAAGGCGUGGGGAGCAAACAGGAUUAGAUACCCUGGUAGUCCACGCAGUAAACUGUGAACACUAGGUGUAGCGGGUAUUGACCCCUGCUGUGCCGAAGCUAACGCAUUAAGUGUUCCGCCUGGGAAGUACGGCCGCAAGGUUAAA
This 376-nucleotide ribosomal RNA is filed under the name uncultured bacterium. RNAcentral's name for it is "bacterial SSU rRNA". It matches the Rfam family "Bacterial small subunit ribosomal RNA", at positions 524 to 898 of the family's 1533-position model. The record is from RNAcentral.